Non-coding RNA from Pestalotiopsis sp. 9143b, 83 nucleotides. The record is from the annotation of a GenBank genome assembly. NCBI's taxonomy places the organism in Eukaryota, Fungi, Ascomycota, Sordariomycetes, Amphisphaeriales, Sporocadaceae.
GGGCGAAUGGCUCAGUGGUAGAGCAUCCGCUUUGCAUUGAGCAAUCUUGCGGAAGGUCCAGGUUUCGAUCACCUGUUCGUCCA